UACGGAGGGCGCAAGCGUUGUUCGGAAUCAUUGGGCGUAAAGCGCGUGCAGGCGGCUUGGUAAGUCGGGUGUGAAAGCCCGGGGCUCAACCCCGGAACUGCACCCGAUACUGCCUCGCUAGAGUCUCGGAGAGGAUGGCGGAAUUUCCGGUGUAGAGGUGAAAUUCGUAGAUAUCGGAAGGAACACCAGCGGCGAAGGCGGCCAUCUGGACGGUGACUGACGCUCAGACGCGAAAGCGUGGGGAGCAAACAGG
This 253-nucleotide ribosomal RNA is filed under the name uncultured bacterium. RNAcentral's name for it is "partial 16S ribosomal RNA". It matches the Rfam family "Bacterial small subunit ribosomal RNA", at positions 524 to 776 of the family's 1533-position model. The record is from RNAcentral.